Molecule: ribosomal RNA, 483 nt
Filed under: uncultured Gammaproteobacteria bacterium
Lineage: Bacteria; Pseudomonadati; Pseudomonadota; Gammaproteobacteria
Description: bacterial SSU rRNA
Rfam family: Bacterial small subunit ribosomal RNA
Source: RNAcentral
AUUGAACGCUGGCGGCAGGCCUAACACAUGCAAGUCGAGCGCGAAAGGUUCUUCGGGACUGAGUAGAGCGGCGGACGGGUGAGUAACGCGUAGGAAUCUACCCAGUGGUGGGGGACAACUUGGGGAAACUCAAGCUAAUACCGCAUACGCCCUACGGGGGAAAGCGGGGGACCUUCGGGCCUCGCGCCAUUGGAUGAGCCUGCGUUGGAUUAGCUAGUUGGUGGGGUAAAGGCCCACCAAGGCGACGAUCCAUAGCUGGUCUGAGAGGAUGAUCAGCCACACUGGGACUGAGACACGGCCCAGACUCCUACGGGAGGCAGCAGUGGGGAAUAUUGCGCAAUGGGCGAAAGCCUGACGCAGCCAUGCCGCGUGUGUGAAGAAGGCCUUAGGGUUGUAAAGCACUUUCAAUUGGGAAGAAAAGUUCACGGUUAAUACCCGUGAGCCCUGACAUUACCUUUAGAAGAAGCACCGGCUAACUCCGUG